This is a long non-coding RNA of Leopardus geoffroyi (Geoffroy's cat), 453 nucleotides long. RefSeq lists it as uncharacterized. The transcript has 3 exons. The record is from RefSeq and is a predicted model, not a curated record. Lineage: Eukaryota; Metazoa; Chordata; Mammalia; Carnivora; Felidae.
AGAAAGUCACGUGUCUGCAGUAACAGAGUGGCAGGGCUGGGAUUUAAAUUCAGUUCUUGGGACUCUAAAGCUUUUAUUAUUAUUUCCACAGACUCUACCAGUCUGGGAUUAUAAUCUUGCCAGCGAAAGCAAACAAGACCUGUUCAGGAAGAAAAGGGGCCCCAGUUGAGAACUUGGAAGCAUAGAGCACACAUUCAGAUCCUGCUCCUCCAGGGAAUCUUCCUCCCUGAGCUUCUCCAGCACCCAGAAACACCACAACAGGCCUGCUGUUAGUCCUGGGUCUGAGUCUGCAUCUGGAGUCAGUUAUCUGGAUCGCCUACAGAACCCUGCAUUAUCUGUAUCACAGUACGAUCCUUGGAUGAUGUACCACCAAUCGCAUCAUUUCUGAAAUGUUAGCCCGAACAACGAAAACUCUGUUAUAUGUAAAAUUAAAAACGAUUGUGUAUAAUUGAA